UUCAACGGCCGCGGUAUUUUGACCGUGCAAAGGUAGCGCAAUCACUUGUCUUUUAAAUAAAGACCUGUAUGAAUGGUUAAACGAGGGCUUAACUGUCUCCCUAUUCCAGUCAGUGAAAUUGAUCUUCCCGUGCAGAAGCGGGACUUAUAAUACAAGACGAGAAGACCCUUUGGAGCUUAAGGUACAUAAACCAACCACGUCCAUCAAACCAAAAAAGGAUUAAACUUAGUGGAAAAUGGGGUACUACCUUCGGUUGGGGCGACCACGGAGGAUAAAAUAGCCUCCAAGAGGAUUGGGCUAAUAUAACCCAAAACCAAGAGAAACAUCUCUAAGCCACAGAAUAUCUGACCCUGUGAUCCGGACAUAAUACCGAUCAACGAACCAAGUUACCCUAGGGAUAACAGCGCAAUCCUCUCCUAGAGUCCAUAUCGACAAGAGGGUUUACGACCUCGAUGUUGGAUCAGG
RNAcentral lists this ribosomal RNA (465 nucleotides) under Sundadanio axelrodi. Its description in RNAcentral is "partial 16S ribosomal RNA". It matches the Rfam family "Bacterial large subunit ribosomal RNA", at positions 1923 to 2541 of the family's 2925-position model. The record is from RNAcentral. Lineage: Eukaryota; Metazoa; Chordata; Actinopteri; Cypriniformes; Sundadanionidae.